RNAcentral lists this ribosomal RNA (420 nucleotides) under Methanosarcina sp. enrichment culture clone MSC-2. RNAcentral describes it as "bacterial SSU rRNA". It matches the Rfam family "Archaeal small subunit ribosomal RNA", at positions 349 to 769 of the family's 1478-position model. Lineage: Archaea; Methanobacteriati; Methanobacteriota; Methanomicrobia; Methanosarcinales; Methanosarcinaceae. The record is from RNAcentral. RNAcentral also lists the same sequence under 1 other name.
AAUUCCAAGCUUGAAACCGUGAUAAGGGGACACCGAGUGCCAGCAUCAUAUGCUGGCUGUCCGGAUGUGUAAAAUACAUCCGUUAGCAAGGGCCGGGCAAGACCGGUGCCAGCCGCCGCGGUAACACCGGCGGCCCGAGUGGUGAUCGUGAUUAUUGGGUCUAAAGGGUCCGUAGCCGGUUUGGUCAGUCCUCCGGGAAAUCUGAUAGCUCAACUAUUAGGCUUUCGGGGGAUACUGCCAGACUUGGAACCGGGAGAGGUAAGAGGUACUACAGGGGUAGGAGUGAAAUCUUGUAAUCCCUGUGGGACCACCUGUGGCGAAGGCGUCUUACCAGAACGGGUUCGACGGUGAGGGACGAAAGCUGGGGGCACGAACCGGAUUAGAUACCCGGGUAGUCCCAGCCGUAAACGAUGCUCGCUA